RNAcentral lists this ribosomal RNA (253 nucleotides) under uncultured bacterium. RNAcentral describes it as "partial 16S ribosomal RNA". It matches the Rfam family "Bacterial small subunit ribosomal RNA", at positions 524 to 776 of the family's 1533-position model. The record is from RNAcentral.
UACGUAGGGGGCAAGCGUUGUCCGGAAUCAUUGGGCGUACAGCGCGUGUAGGCGGCCAGGUAAGUCCGUUCUGAAAGCCCGGGGCUCAACCCCGGGAGGCGGAUGGAUACUGCUUGGCUCGAGUCCGGAAGAGGCGAGUGGAAUUCCCGGUGUAGCGGUGAAAUGCGCAGAUAUCGGGAGGAACACCAAUGGCGAAGGCAGCUCGCUGGGACGGUACUGACGCUGAGACGCGAAAGCGUGGGGAGCAAACAGG